This is an RNA transcript of Glycine soja, 2100 nucleotides long. It is a transcript of the gene named probable leucine-rich repeat receptor-like protein kinase At1g68400, with no coding region annotated. The transcript is spliced from 2 exons. NCBI's taxonomy places the organism in Eukaryota, Viridiplantae, Streptophyta, Magnoliopsida, Fabales, Fabaceae. The record is from RefSeq and is a predicted model, not a curated record.
CCAACCGCACCAGCCUCAUCACUCACUCACUUCACUCUUCACCCACUCCAGCAAUGGCGUCACCUGGUUCCCCUUACCUCCUCCUUCCCACCACCAUCUCCCUGUCGUUUUACCUCUCCCUUGUCGUCCACUCCGCCGCCAGCAACCCCGACUUCCACCCCCUAAUGUCGUUCAAAGCCUCCUCCGACCCUUCCAACAAAUUCCUCUCCCAAUGGAACUCCACGUCCUCCAACCCCUGCACCUGGCACGGCGUCUCCUGCCUCCACCACCGCGUCUCCCACCUCGUCCUCGAAGACCUCAACCUCACCGGCUCCAUCCUCCCCCUCACUUCCCUCACCCAACUCCGCAUCCUCAGCCUUAAACGCAACCGUUUUGACGGUCCCUUCCCCUCCCUCUCCAACCUCACCGCCCUCAAGCUCCUCUUCCUCUCCCACAACAAAUUCUCCGGCGAGUUUCCCGCCACCGUCACCUCCCUCCCCCACCUCUACCGCCUCGACAUCUCCCACAACAACCUCUCUGGCCAGAUUCCGGCCACUGUCAACCAUUUAACCCACCUCCUCCCCUCCGCCUCGACUCCAACAACCUCCGCGGCCGCAUUCCCAACAUGAUCAACCUUUCUCAUCUUCAAGAUUUCAACGUUUCGAGUAACCAACUCUCCGGUCAAAUACCCGAUUCGCUUUCAGGCUUCCCCGGGUCCGCGUUUUCUAACAACCUUUUUCUCUGUGGAGUUCCGUUACGAAAAUGCAAAGGCCAGACAAAAGCUAUCCCUGCCCUCGCUUCGCCGUUGAAGCCUCGAAACGACACAGUUUUGAAUAAAAGAAAAACCCACGGGGCAGCGCCAAAAAUUGGGGUGAUGGUUUUGGUUAUUAUUGUUCUCGGCGACGUGUUGGUGUUGGCUCUUGUUUCAUUUCUUCUCUACUGCUAUUUCUGGCGGUUAUUAAAAGAAGGGAAAGCAGAGACUCAUUCGAAGUCGAAUGCGGUGUACAAAGGGUGUGCCGAGAGGGGUGUAAACAGCGACGGGAUGGUGUUUUUGGAAGGAGUGAUGAGGUUUGAGUUGGAGGAAUUGCUGCGUGCGUCUGCGGAAAUGUUGGGGAAGGGCGUGUUUGGGACUGCGUAUAAAGCGGUGCUCGAUGAUGGGACCGUUGCUGCGGUGAAGAGACUGAAAGAAGUGAGUGUUGGAGGGAAGAGGGAGUUCCAGCAGCGAAUGGAAGUGCUUGGAAGGUUGAGACACUGCAAUGUUGUUCCUUUGAGGGCUUACUAUUUCGCCAAAGAUGAGAAGUUGCUUGUGUCCGAUUACAUGCCCAAUGGUAGCUUGUCCUGGCUCCUCCACGGUAACCGAGGACCGGGACGGACCCCACUGGAUUGGACCACGCGGGUGAAACUCGCAGCUGGAGCGGCACGAGGCAUAGCCUUCAUUCACAACAGUGAUAAGCUCACCCACGGUAAUAUCAAAUCCACGAACGUUCUUGUCGACGUGGUGGGCAACGCGUGCGUGUCGGAUUUCGGGCUCUCCUCCAUCUUCGCCGGCCCCACGUGUGCUCGAUCCAACGGGUACCUCGCGCCGGAGGCAUCAUUGGAUGGCCGGAAGCAGACCCAUAUGUCUGACGUGUACUCCUUCGGGGUCCUCCUGAUGGAGAUUCUGACGGGGAAGUGCCCCUCCGCUGCCGCGGAGGCGCUGGAGCUUCCCCGGUGGGUCCGUUCAGUGGUGAGGGAGGAAUGGACGGCGGAGGUGUUCGAUCUCGAGCUGAUGAGGUACAAGGACAUUGAGGAGGAGAUGGUGGCGCUGUUGCAGAUUGCUAUGGCGUGCACUGUGGCGGCGCCUGAUCAACGACCCAGGAUGAGCCACGUAGCGAAAAUGAUCGAGGACUUGAGUGGGAUCCACGUGUCGCCGUCUCAUGACGCGUUGGACUUGGUUUCGGAGUCGCCUUCUGUGCCUGAAGAUGCGUGUACAGGAGGAGGUGGAGCUAGUGCUAGUCAAUGAACUUGGACUUUGUAAAUUAAAUUAUUAUUUAGUGUUGAAUAUGUUUUUCAAUUAACCUUUUCUGGAACUUUUAUUUGUAUUUCAUAUAUAUUAUUCAAUAUAAGCUAAUUUUUACGUUA